This 468-nucleotide ribosomal RNA is filed under the name uncultured bacterium. Its description in RNAcentral is "partial 16S ribosomal RNA". It matches the Rfam family "Bacterial small subunit ribosomal RNA", at positions 28 to 507 of the family's 1533-position model. The record is from RNAcentral.
GACGAACGCUGGCGGCGUGCUUAACACAUGCAAGUCGAACGGAAAGGCCCUGCUUUUGUGGGGUGCUCGAGUGGCGAACGGGUGAGUAACACGCGAGUAAACUGCCCUUGACUUUGGGAUAAAUUCAGGAAACUGGGGCUAAUACAGGAUAGGAGAUCCUGCUGCAUGGGGGGGGUAGGAAAGUUUCGGCGGUUGGGGCUGGACUCGCGGCUUAUCAGCUUGUUGGUGGGGUAGUGGCUUACAAAGGUUUUGACGGGUAGCCGGCCUGGGAGGGUGACCGGCGACAUUGGGACUGAGAGACGGACCAGACUCCUACGUGAGGCAGCAGUGGGGAAUAUUGCACAAUGGGCGGAAGCCUGAUGCAGCAACGCCGCGUGCGGGAUGACGGCCUUCGGGUUGUAAACCGCUUUCGCCUGUGACGAAGCGUGAGUGACGGUAAUGGGUAAAGAAGCACCGGCUAACUACGUG